This 209-nucleotide long non-coding RNA is filed under the name Capsicum annuum. RNAcentral describes it as "long non-coding RNA (CANN_LNC011543)". Lineage: Eukaryota; Viridiplantae; Streptophyta; Magnoliopsida; Solanales; Solanaceae. The record is from RNAcentral.
UUUUUUUAGUUUAAUUUAAAUUAUACUAUGGAUAAAUUAAGAAACAUCGCUACUAAAGAUGUUAAAAAUUUUUGUCCCAAAAGCGGUAGUGGUAGUAAAAAGUGAAUUACUAGCGGUAGAGGUAGUUCAAGUAGUAGAUAUACCUGUGUGUCUUCGCCUCCGAUACCGCUUGGUACAGCUUUUGAGGAAGAAAUAGGUGUAGGUGCUCA